Long non-coding RNA from Aphis gossypii (cotton aphid), 489 nucleotides. RefSeq lists it as uncharacterized. The transcript is spliced from 2 exons. The record is from RefSeq and is a predicted model, not a curated record. Lineage: Eukaryota; Metazoa; Arthropoda; Insecta; Hemiptera; Aphididae.
UUUUAAUGUUAUCAUCAAUGCCUUUUUUUAUUAGGAAUUAUUGCCAUCAAUGACUAUUUAUUGACGUUAAUUCCUUACUAAAUUAGACAUUAUCGUUAUUGAUUAUAGUCAUUGUCAACAUUGACUAGAUGUGAUCUUUUCCGGCAACAUUAUACAUACUUCGCAACAGUGUCACCGGUCGCGACAAUAUGGCGCGUGAUAAGACGUCAAGGUACGGAUAAUGACCGAUACAUAGUCCCUAUAAUACGUAUAUAUCGCCGAAAACGAUGAAGUUACAUUGCAUGUAAAUGUGUAAAAUAAACCCUCAAAGUUGAAGAUUGAAACAUCUCUUCAAUGGUGAUAAACGGACACAAAGAAAACAACAUACCAUUUUCAAACCAAUCAAUUUACACUUUGCUUUAAAUUCAAGAUUACUAAAAUGUUCAGCUUUUAAAUAGUUAAGUAUUGGAUUCAAAAAUAUUAACCUAAUAUAGCUUCAAAUUUUAAUUA